RNAcentral lists this transfer RNA (75 nucleotides) under Nitrospiraceae bacterium. RNAcentral describes it as "tRNA-Val". It matches the Rfam family "tRNA". Rfam says of the family: Transfer RNA (tRNA) molecules are approximately 80 nucleotides in length. Their secondary structure includes four short double-helical elements and three loops (D, anti-codon, and T loops). Lineage: Bacteria; Pseudomonadati; Nitrospirota; Nitrospiria; Nitrospirales; Nitrospiraceae. RNAcentral also lists the same sequence under 1 other name. The record is from RNAcentral.
AGGCGCGUAGCUCAGGGGGAGAGCGCUUCCUUGACACGGAAGAGGUCGGCGGUUCGAAACCGCCCGUGCCUACCA